Molecule: ribosomal RNA, 981 nt
Filed under: Triticum aestivum (bread wheat)
Lineage: Eukaryota; Viridiplantae; Streptophyta; Magnoliopsida; Poales; Poaceae
Description: partial small subunit ribosomal RNA
Source: RNAcentral
AUGCAGGGUUACAUGGACAACUUCGUGGACCAGACCGAGUUCUGGUACGAGAAGGGCGGCGACAACAAGCGCGACGACGACAAGUGGUGGAUGCCGACGGUGAAGGUGCCGGCGGAGGGCCUGUCCGAUGUGACCCGCAAGUGGCUGCAGUACCAGAAGGAGUGCGUGAACCAGGUGCUCAAGGCCGCCAUGGCCAUCAACGCGCAGGUGCUGGUGGAGAUGGAGAUCCCAGAGAUCUACAUCGAGUCGCUCCCCAAGAAGGGCAAGACGAGCCUGGGCGACGCCAUCUACCGGAGCAUCACCGAUGAGGAGUUCGAUCCGAUCGAGUUCCUGGAAGGGGUGGACCUGUCGACGGAGCACAAGGUGCUUGAUCUCAAGAACCGCAUCGAGGCCUCCACCAUCAUCUGGAAGCGCAAGAUGCAGACAAAGGACGCCAAGUCCUCCUGGGGUUCCAUCAUCAGCUUCGAGAAGCGCGAGCAGUUCGAGGAGCGCGCCGAGACCAUCCUCCACCUCCUCAAGCUUCAGUUCCCCGGAGCCCCACAGUCACAGCUCGACAUCUCCAAGAUCCAAUACAACAGGGAUGUUGGUUACGCUCUCCUAGAGAGCUACUCGCGUGUCCUAGAGAGCCUGGCGUAUAGCGUGAUCUCGAGGAUCGAGGACGUGCUGGGUGCGGACGCGGCGGCCACGAACCUGACGGCGAGCGAGGCGGCGCGGAGGCAGCUGGAGAUGAAAGCGCCAAGGAAGCUGGACGCCAGGGAGGAGCUGGAGAAGCUCAACGAGGCGCCGGCGUCCAUGACGCUCUACGACUUCAUGGGAUGGCACUUCGACCAGGACGAGCUCAUGAGGAAGAAGGAGGAGGGCACGCUCGACGAGGCCGGCGAGGCCAUGCUGCUCAAGAAGGCGCCAAGCCUCGCCCCCAAGAAGUUCUCCUACGUGGACAGCCUCGCCGGCGGCGUAAGGAGCCCCUCCGCGCAUCACUGA